AUCGCUUCUCGGCCUUUUGGCUAAGAUCAAGUGUAGUAUCUGUUCUUGUGAGUUUAAUAUCUGAUACGUUCUUGAUCCGAGGACAAUCUAUUAAAUGGACUUUUGGAAUUAGGAGAUGGAAAAGGAGCCUGCUCCGUCCACUCCACACAUCGACCUGGGAUCGCAGUACUUCUAGGAAUGGUGCGCCCCUU
Molecule: small nuclear RNA, 191 nt
Organism: Carlito syrichta (Philippine tarsier)
Lineage: Eukaryota; Metazoa; Chordata; Mammalia; Primates; Tarsiidae
Gene: U2
Rfam family: U2 spliceosomal RNA
About the family: U2 is a small nuclear RNA (snRNA) component of the spliceosome (involved in pre-mRNA splicing). Complementary binding between U2 snRNA (in an area lying towards the 5' end but 3' to hairpin I) and the branchpoint sequence (BPS) of the intron results the bulging out of an unpaired adenosine, on the BPS, which initiates a nucleophilic attack at the intronic 5' splice site, thus starting the first of two transesterification reactions that mediate splicing.
Source: Ensembl